RNAcentral lists this ribosomal RNA (770 nucleotides) under uncultured bacterium. RNAcentral's name for it is "bacterial SSU rRNA". It matches the Rfam family "Bacterial small subunit ribosomal RNA", at positions 65 to 785 of the family's 1533-position model. The record is from RNAcentral.
GGCCUCCCACUCAAUUUAUUUUGCGACAUUGAGAGAUGUUGAAAGUAAGAAGAGAUAAAUUGAGUGGUGAGGUAGCGGCGGACGGGUGAGUAAUGCUUAGGAAUCUGCCAUUUAGUGGGGGACAACAUUCCGAAAGGGAUGCUAAUACCGCAUACGCCCUACGGGGGAAAGCAGGGGAUCUUCGGUCCUUGCGCUAAAUGAUGAGCCUAAGUCGGAUUAGCUAGUUGGUGGGGUAAAGGCCUACCAAGGCAACGAUCUGUAGCGGGUCUGAGAGGAUGAUCCGCCACACUGGGACUGAGACACGGCCCAGACUCCUACGGGAGGCAGCAGUGGGGAAUAUUGGACAAUGGGGGGAACCCUGAUCCAGCCAUGCCGCGUGUGUGAAGAAGGCCUUUUGGUUGUAAAGCACUUUAAGCGAGGAGGAGGCUACCUGGAUUAAUACUCUAGGAUAGUGGACGUUACUCGCAGAAUAAGCACCGGCUAACUCUGUGCCAGCAGCCGCGGUAAUACAGAGGGUGCGAGCGUUAAUCGGAUUUACUGGGCGUAAAGCGUGCGUAGGCGGCUGAUUAAGUCGGAUGUGAAAUCCCCGAGCUUAACUUGGGGAAUUGCAUUCGAUACUGGUCAGCUAGAGUAUGGGAGAGGAUGGUAGAAUUCCAGGUGUAGCGGUGAAAUGCGUAGAGAUCUGGAGGAAUACCGAUGGCGAAGGCAGCCAUCUGGCCUAAUACUGACGCUGAGGUACGAAAGCAUGGGGAGCAAACAGGAUUAGAUAC